Molecule: long non-coding RNA, 307 nt
Organism: Bradysia coprophila
Lineage: Eukaryota; Metazoa; Arthropoda; Insecta; Diptera; Sciaridae
Source: RefSeq, a predicted model, not a curated record
ACAUGGGCAUCGACAAUUCUGAUCAAAAGAAUUGCUAAAAACUGUGUAAAAUCAAAAAUAUAGGGCCGCCAUUUUGUAAUUUUCUAACGGUAUGCCUCUAAAAUUUAAAAUCUAAUUUUUUUUUAUAAAAUUAAUUUUGUUUACAAAGUACGACCCUAAAUCGACCCAAUUUUGUCAGCCGCCUAAAAUGUGCCGGAGGCCGUUUCCAGUCUCGAUAAAAAUAAGUAUGUGUAAGGUGUUCUGCAGCAAGAACUACAUGGGCAUCGACAAUUCUGAUCAAAAGAGUUUCUAAAAACCAUGUAAAAUC